AUUGAACGCUGGCGGCAUGCCUUACACAUGCAAGCCGAACGGUAACGGGUCCUUCGGGAUGCCGACGAGUGGCGAACGGGUGAGUAAUAUAUCGGAACGUGCCCAGUAGUGGGGGAUAACUGCUCGAAAGAGCAGCUAAUACCGCAUACGACCUGAGGGUGAAAGGGGGGGAUCGCAAGACCUCUCGCUAUUGGAGCGGCCGAUAUCAGAUUAGCUAGUUGGUGGGGUAAAGGCCUACCAAGGCAACGAUCUGUAGUUGGUCUGAGAGGACGACCAGCCACACUGGGACUGAGACACGGCCCAGACUCCUACGGGAGGCAGCAGUGGGGAAUUUUGGACAAUGGGCGCAAGCCUGAUCCAGCAAUGCCGCGUGCAGGAAGAAGGCCUUCGGGUUGUAAACUGCUUUUGUCAGGGAAGAAAUCUUCUGGGCUAAUACCCCGGGAGGAUGACGGUACCUGAAGAAUAAGCACCGGCUAACUACGUGCCAGCAGCCGCGGUAAUACGUAGGGUGCGAGCGUUAAUCGGAAUUACUGGGCGUGAAGCGUGCGCAGGCGGCUUUGCAAGACAGAUGUGAAAUCCCCGGGCUCAACCUGGGAACUGCAUUUGUGACUGCAAGGCUAGAGUACGGCAGAGGGGGAUGGAAUUCCGCGUGUAGCAGUGAAAUGCGUAGAUAUGCGGAGGAACACCAAUGGCGAAGGCAAUCCCCUGGGCCUGUACUGACGCUCAUGCACGAAAGCGUGGGGAGCAAACAGGAUUAGAUACCCUGGUAGUCCACGCCCUAAACGAUGUCAACUGGUUGUUGGACGGCUUGCUGUUCAGUAACGAAGCUAACGCGUGAAGUUGACCGCCUGGGGAGUACGGCCGCAAGGUUGAAACACAAAGGAAUUGACGGGGACCCGCACAAGCGGUGGAUGAUGUGGUUUAAUUCGAUGCAACGCGAAAAACCUUACCUACCCUUGACAUGUCAAGAAUUCUGCAGAGAUGUGGAAGUGCUCGAAAGAGAACUUGAACACAGGUGCUGCAUGGCCGUCGUCAGCUCGUGUCGUGAGAUGUUGGGUUAAGUCCCGCAACGAGCGCAACCCUUGUCAUUAGUUGCUACGCAAGAGCACUCUAAUGAGACUGCCGGUGACAAACCGGAGGAAGGUGGGGAUGACGUCAGGUCCUCAUGGCCCUUAUGGGUAGGGCUACACACGUCAUACAAUGGCCGGUACAGAGGGCUGCCAACCCGCGAGGGGGAGCCAAUCCCAGAAAACCGGUCGUAGUCCGGAUCGUAGUCUGCAACUCGACUGCGUGAAGUCGGAAUCGCUAGUAAUCGCGGAUCAGCUUGCCGCGGUGAAUACGUUCCCGGGUCU
RNAcentral lists this ribosomal RNA (1352 nucleotides) under uncultured bacterium. Its description in RNAcentral is "bacterial SSU rRNA". It matches the Rfam family "Bacterial small subunit ribosomal RNA", at positions 28 to 1381 of the family's 1533-position model. The record is from RNAcentral.